GAGUUUGAAAAAAAAAAAAAAAAAAAAAAAAAAAAAACAUGACAA
Molecule: non-coding RNA, 45 nt
Filed under: Akashiwo sanguinea
Lineage: Eukaryota; Dinophyceae; Gymnodiniales; Gymnodiniaceae
Source: RNAcentral